GACGAACGCUGGCGGCGUGCUUAACACAUGCAAGUCGAACGGAAAGGCCCUGCUUUUGUGGGGUGCUCGAGUGGCGAACGGGUGAGUAACACGUGAGUAACCUGCCCUUGACUUUGGGAUAACUUCAGGAAACUGGGGCUAAUACCGGAUAGGAGCUCCUGCUGCAUGGUGGGGGUUGGAAAGUUUCGGCGGUUGGGGAUGGACUCGCGGCCUAUCAGCUUGUUGGUGGGGUAGUGGCUUACCAAGGCUUUGACGGGUAGCCGGCCUGAGAGGGUGACCGGCCACAUUGGGACUGAGAUACGGCCCAGACUCCUACGGGAGGCAGCAGUGGGGAAUAUUGCACAAUGGGCGGAAGCCUGAUGCAGCAACGCCGCGCGCGGGAUGACGGCCUUCGGGUUGUAAACCGCUUUCGCCUGUGACGAAGCGUGAGUGACGGUAAUGGGUAAAGAAGCACCGGCUAACUACGUG
RNAcentral lists this ribosomal RNA (468 nucleotides) under uncultured bacterium. RNAcentral's name for it is "partial 16S ribosomal RNA". It matches the Rfam family "Bacterial small subunit ribosomal RNA", at positions 28 to 507 of the family's 1533-position model. The record is from RNAcentral.